Lathyrus oleraceus (garden pea) is the source of this 1088-nucleotide long non-coding RNA. RefSeq lists it as uncharacterized. The transcript is spliced from 2 exons. The record is from RefSeq and is a predicted model, not a curated record. NCBI's taxonomy places the organism in Eukaryota, Viridiplantae, Streptophyta, Magnoliopsida, Fabales, Fabaceae.
GCAAAUGCACGAGCCUGCUAGCUUCAGAAGCCCAAUGCGUUGCUAAGAGGGGGAAAGGAAUCAGAGUGACUAAUUCACUCUUCAAGCCAAAAUUUCAAACAAGCUCCUCCCAAGUCCCUCACCGGAGCAUCAACCUUACCGCGCCAGAAUUCACUUCCGGCGGCGGCGGAGGUCCAAGUGACCUCAAACUUAUCCCAACUCGCUCUCUUCCAUACACUCAGUCACACACACACUCUCUCUCUUUCUCUCACACACACACACUCUCUCUCUCUCACACACACUCUCUCUCUCACACACGCACGCGCACACGCAUACACGCACGCGCGCACAUACGCACGCGCACUCACACACGCAUGCGCAUGCGGACACGCACACGCGCACGCACACGCGCAUACGCACACGCACGCGCGCGCACACACACCCACACACACGCGCUCACGCACACACACACAAACACACACACACAAUCUCAAGCUAAUUUCUAUAAACUCCUAACUAUUUCAUAAAAUCGAGCCAAACAAAAUAAGAACCCUAGGUUAAAUAAACUUAAAUUAAAUGGCGUUGAGGAGGAAUCAAAUCCCGAUAUGUUAGAACUUUGAUUUCUUAGGCUUAAGUUUACAUGAUGAUAACUUACUUCAGGCAAAAAAGAACAAGGAAUUAAAAAUCACCAACCUACAAGGUCGAGGUUCACCCUGGUGAUUGCUGAAGGUUGAAGAAGAUGCUUACAAAGAGAAAACUAGAGGUAUUAACAGGACUAAUGGAUAUGUGAGGUGGUUUGGCAUGGAAUGAAAUAUCACCAUAAUUCAUAAAGACUUGAUCAAAGCAUGUAGGAUAUUAAUAUGAUCAUGGCACAUGAAGGCAACAUCAUGGGGGCUCUUUACAAAAAAGAUGGCUUAUGAAUGAAGAAAAGUGGGGACUAAGUCCUAGGGUUAGAUAGUUGACUUCAGUCAACUUGUUUGACUAAAAAGCCAACAGUUGACCAAAGAUCAACCCUAGGUCAAAAACAUGUAAAAGAAUGUGUAGUUGUAAUUUUGGAUUUUUGUAAUAUGGAUUGGAUGCUUUGUAAUGAAAUUGGCCUUUGAAAUGAA